RNAcentral lists this long non-coding RNA (365 nucleotides) under Equus caballus (horse). RNAcentral describes it as "lncRNA (ENSECAG00000046227.1)". The record is from RNAcentral. Lineage: Eukaryota; Metazoa; Chordata; Mammalia; Perissodactyla; Equidae.
CAAAGUAUGACAUGCAGUAUGUAGUGAAAGUGCUAUAGCGAAAAAUAAACCAAGGGAGGGAUGGUGUAAGAUGUACAAGGUUUGUGAGGUGAAGACAUUGCAGGUAGAGGAAACAUCAGGUGCAAAUAUCCUAAAAACCAGCAAGAAGAGCAGUGUUUGAAACAGAGAAAUACAGAAAGUGGAGGACAUAAUGUCAGAAAGGCAGUGAAACACACUUGUGUUGACAAUCAAACAAAAAGAUUAUCUCGUGAGCAUUUAAAACCAGUCUUGUCUUCAUGGAGAUUUGAGUUGGCCAGAUCCUCUCAAGAUGAAAGAUGAAAGGUGUGCCUGAUUUCAAAAAUUAAAGAACUAUGCCUGAAAGCGGU